Ctenopharyngodon idella (grass carp) is the source of this 1052-nucleotide long non-coding RNA. RefSeq lists it as uncharacterized. The transcript is spliced from 5 exons. The record is from RefSeq and is a predicted model, not a curated record. Lineage: Eukaryota; Metazoa; Chordata; Actinopteri; Cypriniformes; Xenocyprididae.
GACAGCAAAAUUCAUCCACAAAGAGGUUCUUCACAUGAUCGACGACUAGAGGGCACUGUUGCUCUUGAUUAUCAACUAUCAAUCAACAGGUGCAGUCGAAACGCUAUUGAUUCUCCUGAGCGUAACGGCUCAAGCAUAUCUGCAGAUUAGCAUCCAUGUUCAUUUGAGGUCAAACGAUAUAUUACAAUUACAGACAAACCUGACACACCAAACUCAAGUGCAGAAGGCUGGCUAAAACCUGCACAGGUGUUAACUUGAACCACAGCAUGAAACGGAGCAGAGAAAGAUCCACUUUCUGAAUAAAUCAAGUAGAAGCAAUAUCCAGCAUGUGUAGAGAGAUGGACGGGAGCCCAUGUAAUAUUAAAAGCGCCGUGUCUGGCAACGCAAGUGGUGCCACUCCUUUCAUUGCUCCUGCUCCCUCCACUACCCGGCCACUGGCUCUUCUCUCAAGGUGACACUUCAAAGCACCAACGCAGACGUGGAAGGCCUGGCUGCCAGCAUGGAGCCAGCACAACCCUCCUCCACCCCCUUCCUCAAACGCGCUUGCUACCCCCGCUGGGCCAGGUCAACGCCAAGAAUCCACACCGCUUGCCACUCGGGAACCCUUGUCAAAAUCUGCUUCGUAUCCUUAAUUAAUAACACUCCUUUCCUAUUGCAAACACAAGGGGGGAGAGAGUGCCUGUCUGGAGUCCACUGGCACUGUUCCUUACUGGAGUCUCCAUUCCGACAAAGAGACUUGCUGGAAAUGAAGGAGGAUGCCCCUCAUCAAGACUCAACCAGAGGAACAUGCAUUUGUGAACGUUCAAGGGGGUACUUUCAAUUUCGGCUCCCCAAGAGCUGAAAAAUGCAGCAAACAGAGGAGAGUUACGCUAAUGUAGUCUGUUUGAAGAUGCUCCUAAGACGGGAUCCCAAGUGAAAGGAAGAUGUUUUCUUCUGUUCUCACAAUACAUCUGAUCUGUCAGUGAAGAAAAGGCAACAUGACAGCACUGUUUGCACAAGCUCAUCCCGUGCCAUUUCAUCCUGCGCUGCAAGACAUGCAUGCAAAUAGCCGC